GCGGAAUUGGUAUAUGGGUUGUGCCCUAGGUUUCCAUCCUAGAGAAAGCGGUUCGAGUCCGUUAUUCCGCUCCA
Molecule: transfer RNA, 74 nt
Filed under: bacterium
Lineage: Bacteria
Description: tRNA-Gly
Rfam family: tRNA
About the family: Transfer RNA (tRNA) molecules are approximately 80 nucleotides in length. Their secondary structure includes four short double-helical elements and three loops (D, anti-codon, and T loops).
Source: RNAcentral